Molecule: small nucleolar RNA, 223 nt
Organism: Rhodamnia argentea
Lineage: Eukaryota; Viridiplantae; Streptophyta; Magnoliopsida; Myrtales; Myrtaceae
Product: small nucleolar RNA U3
Exons: 1
Source: RefSeq, a predicted model, not a curated record
ACGACCUUACUUGAACAGGAUCUGUUCUAUAGGCUCGUACCUCUGUAUCCUUGAUUACUAAGGAGACAGGAACUAAAGUCUGGUGGAUGAAUCGUGGCCGUGUGAUCAGAGCGUGAUUAAUGGCUUUGCUGGGUCCUUUGCUUGGAUCCAUCAAGAGCUGUAGAGGAUCGUUCUCAGUUGGGCGCGUUCCGGCUGGGAUGGUCACACGGCUAUCUGACAGACU